AGGAAGGGUCUGAUCCUCCUGAUGCUGUACAGGAUGGAGCAACGGAGGCCACAUGGGACAUUUACCUAUAAAAACAGUUUUGAAAGCAACACGCCGAGGUCCUGUCCUACCAGGAAGACGAAGAGAGCCUGAAGCCUCGGUUUCCCAGAGACUAUGGGUUGAGGAGGAAGUGGAAGUUUGUCGGCUUAGACCUGGUGUCAUUCCAUCAGUGUUAAACUUCCCGGCUCAUCUUGGAAGAGUACGUGCCAGAAAGACCAUGACCAAGCAGCCUUGAGAUCUUAGCAGCGUCUACCUGAGGUCCCUCUCUAUCUCCCCACACAUCCACCAACCACUGGAACGCAUCUCCAAAGUUCUGCUGGACCAGCUCAGCUUCCCCUCAGAAGAAGUGCCACCACCUGCCAGAUGAAGGAGCCUUUUGAGAGGCAGCUGGCAUCGUGAUUGGACUGUACUUUGGUCUGUUCCAAUCCAGCUUCAGCUCCAGAGACGGCAGGCGGGACGAGUCAACGGAGGCCGGGUGGACGAAGACAUGAAGCUGAGUACAAUCCAGAAAACAACAGAGAUGGAGUGUAGUGGCCCAGAGCCAGAAAAAACAGAGUAGCAUCAUAUGUCUCUUAGAAAACAUCAUAGUAUAGCCUUUGGUAUGAAAAAACGCCAUCAUAUACAUCGUAUAUUGUACAAAUAAGUCAAAGCAAAGAGACAUACAUUGUAGAAUUGUAGUAAUUGUGGGCUGACUGAUUUACGGAUUAUCAGUAUUUUAUUUUUUGCUGAUUUACGGUAAUAAAUACAUUUAAAAAUGGUGCUACUUUGGCUCUGAACCUUUAUCUACCUGUGGUCGCUCUGUCUUCUGGAGUGAUUUGAUUGGUUAUACGUCACGAAUAAAACUCCUUUAACUUAACAUCUGUAAACAAAACAUAGACGUAUCAACAAGUUUUCUGUUAGAGUUUGUGUUCUUCUAAGUUUAACUCGAAGAUUUUAAAUACUUUCAUUUACUGCAAAUGUCUCACUAAUAAUCAUUAUCAGCCUUAAAAACCCACAAAACACCCCUCUAUACUCCACCACACUUAGUACAGUCCGGUUCCCCCUUCUAUAAAUCUGCUUGGAAUCGUCCACUUCCUGUUUGUCAAAGUGGCCUUCUACCUGGACAGGUUUUGUUGGAGCUCAUGCAACAAACAUUUUGGGUAACUGCACUUUAAUAUGGAUGGAUGACACUGAAUUAGAGUCUGUUUUAAUGAGACUGAGUUAAGAUGUGUAGCUCUGUCAUUAAAUAGGAAAUUAUUUCUCAGAACUCACAGAGAAAAGUCUGAAAUGUUUGCUAGGUUAGCGUCCCACAUGUUCUUUGGCUCAGCUAAAGCUAACUCUCUCCAACUUCUGGAUCUCUGGAGCUGCUUGUUGUUAAAAUAUCUUGCUGUAGGUGCUGAAGCUCAGAAAGUCUGAGAUGUUUGUUCAAAAUUAGCUCA
Long non-coding RNA from Amphiprion ocellaris (clown anemonefish), 1457 nucleotides. Lineage: Eukaryota; Metazoa; Chordata; Actinopteri; Pomacentridae. The record is from Ensembl.